Long non-coding RNA from Rosa rugosa (rugosa rose), 615 nucleotides. RefSeq lists it as uncharacterized. NCBI's taxonomy places the organism in Eukaryota, Viridiplantae, Streptophyta, Magnoliopsida, Rosales, Rosaceae. The record is from RefSeq and is a predicted model, not a curated record. The transcript is spliced from 2 exons.
CAUAGUUUACAAUGUCCCUGCAUAUUUUCUCUAUAAAUAUGUACUAAACCCAAAGGCUAAAGAAUCAAAGAAAUAGAGUUCUUUUGCUUAAAAAGAUCGAAGAGGAACAAUAUGGCUAAGCUUAACUUGAUUGUACUUCUAGUUGUCUCUCUUCUUGUCAUCAUUUCAGUAGCUGAGAGUAAACGACUUGCUGUUGGACUUGCAAAGAGGACUCCGACCCUUGUUUGUAAUUCCGUUUAUGGUGCAGCGGAAGGUGAUACUUGCGGUAGUGUCGCUCAAAUGUUCAAUCUGAGUCUCAAAUCCUUCCUUUCCAUCAACCCUAACAUCAACUGCAGGAGCUUUUUUGUGGGUCAAUGGCUAUGUACUGAUGGUGCUACGAAGUGAGUUACUACAUUUUCAUGUAUAUGUUGAGUUGAGGACAUAUAAUGUAAGAAUAAAAGAGGAUGAGCUAGCAACCUAGGUAGCUUUGAUGCCCUCUCAUGUCUCAACUCAACCCAUUGUUUCCCGUUAAUUGUUGUUAUUUUACAAAAUUUUAAAAAAGUGUAUACCGUAAUUCCUAGUUAACUUACGUUCUGUUUUAACAUUGUUAUAAUAAAGGAAGCCGUAGUUUCAUAA